This 406-nucleotide long non-coding RNA is filed under the name Homo sapiens (human). RNAcentral's name for it is "HSALNT0230868". The record is from RNAcentral. Lineage: Eukaryota; Metazoa; Chordata; Mammalia; Primates; Hominidae.
GCCCUGGCAGCUCCCAUUGCCUCAUCCCCCUCCAGAAAGCACCAGGUAUUGUACCCCCACUGACCACAGCCCAGUAGUGCGAACAGAUGGCUAUUUGGUCCUCACGUUGUUCAUCUAUGUUCUCCCUGAAUAUAUCAGGCAGUGAGGAAAAAGUGACUGAGGACAAGGCUGAAAGUCAAUGGUCCUGCCGGCUGACUUUCUUCCGGGGUGACUGACUAUGGUUCCAAAGUCCCGCAUCUCACUCUCAGCACCCAUGAAGCGGACACCCUGUAUUCAAGGAAAAUUGACUUUGGAUUGAGUUCAUACAAAACCAGAGAGUGGGGAGCAAUGUUUCUCAGAACUCAAGUGAAAAAAACAUAAUGUAGUUAAUAUUAAAUAAGGAGAUUGGGCAACCCUGUCCCCCCGU